This 105-nucleotide ribosomal RNA is filed under the name uncultured bacterium. RNAcentral describes it as "partial 16S ribosomal RNA". It matches the Rfam family "Bacterial small subunit ribosomal RNA", at positions 1379 to 1482 of the family's 1533-position model. The record is from RNAcentral.
CCUUGUACACACCGCCCGUCACACCAUGGGAGUGGGUUGCUCCAGAAGGCGUUAGUCUUAACCGCAAGGGGGACGACGCCCACGGAGUGGUCCAUGACUGGGGUG